CUUGUAAUGUGAGUGGCGAAACCUCUGAAAUAACAUUUUUUUCUGAUAUUUGUCAUCGUUGUUCUAAGCUGAAAGGACUGUGUAAAGAAUACGAUGGGAAGAAGGAGAGGAGAAGAAAGGUAGUAAAUGGACCAAAGAAAGAAGAGAAUGAUGAAUAUACGGGGUGUGUCAAAAUUAUGUUCACUCUCAUACUCCUACAUCUAAGUGGAAGUGGCAGCGUGUGACGUAUUGUACCACCGAUGUGGUAAGAUAACUAACAAGUCUGAGGCCCACUGCCUUAAAGCGAACACGUGUAGUAGGCUGCAUACCAGUCAUAAUCCACCAGAUCCAGUUAGGUAGCCGUAUGCACAGAGCGAACGCUUGUUGGCGUACCAGAUGUCCCCGAUCAAUACGCAGAGCCACUGCAGCAAGACGGCAUACCAAGUACUGGCCUGUCCACCCUGGUACAAAAUGAUGACCUCGUUUAACCUUUCGAAAGCAGGAAGGAAAUGACCGCCCAUACACGCACCAUGAGAUUAUCGCCAAGAAGGUUUUGCGACCCGAUAAAAGUCAUAAACUUUUCAGAAACUCACACAAUAAACAGCACAGUUGAAUCUGUCUAUCGUCUUUGACUGUCAUAUUAAUCCCGUUGAACUACACUGCAUGGAAUUAAUUAUGAAAGUCUGAAUUUCAUCGAGCUCGGAAUGGAUAUUUGGCAGGGCAUCUGACACGGGGAAUCGGUCCAUUCAGACGCCUCUACCUACGCAGAACAGGAAAAGUCGAUAGAACAUAAAAACACAGAUGUAAUCUAAUUCAAAAGCGGGACUACAAUUGACGAUCAGGGCAUAAAGAUGGCUGUCUUCUGGGAUGAUACGCCGUAUAGACUUGUAGAAUUUUACCGACGUUUCAGAGGUGCAGACUACCUCCAUCAUUAGUAAGUGGGAAUACGUUUUGGAAGAGACGGUUUUCAGUUGUAAGAGCAAAGUCUGUGUAGCAAGAAAACUGCACUAUUAGCAAUACUUAUAGUUGGCCGUGGCCCGCAAUACCCCGGUGUUAGACAGACACAGUUUUGUCCAUAGUGAAUUCAACUCUGUAAAUCAAUGGAUGCAAUGGAUUGUCGCAGCGUUAAAGAGAGGGUAAAACAUGUAUCAUGUUCGAAAGAAAACAACAUUGUAAUUAAAAGUAAGGAAGUAGGCUGGUCCUAAGAAACGUGCAUUAGAGUAAAUCCAACUUGUGUUGAGUGCAAAUUGGCAGAGGAAAUUUGAAUAGUACCUCUAGUGGAUAAAUAGCCAGAUUGCAGAAAGGGUUUAUUCUUUCAUGAGACUUUGAAUAGUUCAGUUUCAGUUGAUAUGUAGGCUGUGAAAAGAACCCUAUAUCUCCUGUUGGAACAUGUACUGUUUUACAUUCCUGUUUUAAAUUCAGUAAGAGUAACAGGCAAAUAUAUAUUGUUCAACUGACUUCAGUCCCCUUCCUUUCCACUUUUUGUUUGCGUUCUCGUCUCAAGGGAAGCGAAAAUAAUAUUGGCAAUCCAACUUGCAGAGACAUUGGGAUUCUUAUUUCAUCUUUCUCACUAACACUCUACCCUCUCCUUUCCAGCGACCGUUAAGAUGUUUUGAAAUUUAAAUAGCGAAACACAGUUUUAAAAUGUUCGUAUUCUUCGUCGACAUUCUAUUCUUCAGAAUACAAAGAAUUCUCACUCCUUUA
This is a non-coding RNA of Zootermopsis nevadensis, 1683 nucleotides long. Lineage: Eukaryota; Metazoa; Arthropoda; Insecta; Blattodea; Termopsidae. The record is from RefSeq and is a predicted model, not a curated record.